This 443-nucleotide ribosomal RNA is filed under the name uncultured bacterium. RNAcentral's name for it is "SSU rRNA". It matches the Rfam family "Bacterial small subunit ribosomal RNA", at positions 26 to 518 of the family's 1533-position model. The record is from RNAcentral.
AGAGCGAACGCUGGCGGCAGGCCUAACACAUGCAAGUCGAGCGCUCCGCAAGGGGAGCGGCAGACGGGAGAGUAACACGUGGGAACGUACCCUUCAGUUCGGAACAACCCAGGGAAACUUGGGCUAAUACCGAAUACGUCCGUAAGGAGAAAGAUUUAUCGCUGAAGGAUCGGCCCGCGUCUGAUUAGCUUGUUGGUGAGGUAACGGCUCACCAAGGCGACGAUCAGUAGCUGGUCUGAGAGGAUGAUCAGCCUCACUGGGACUGAGACACGGCCCAGACUCCUACGGGAGGCAGCAGUGGGAAUAUUGGACAAUGGGCGCAAGCCUGAUCCAGCCAUGCCGCGUGGGUGAUGAAGGCCCUAGGGUUGUAAAGCCCUUUCGGCGGGGAAGAUAAUGACGGUACCCGCAGAAGAAGCCCCGGCUAACUUCGUGCCAGCAGCCGC